AUUGAACGCUGGCGGCAUGCUUUACACAUGCAAGUCGAACGGCAGCACGGACUUCGGUCUGGUGGCGAGUGGCGAACGGGUGAGUAAUACAUCGGAACGUGCCCAGUUGUGGGGGAUAACUACUCGAAAGAGUAGCUAAUACCGCAUGAGAACUGAGGUUGAAAGCAGGGGAUCGUAAGACCUUGCGCAACUGGAGCGGCCGAUGGCAGAUUAGGUAGUUGGUGGGAUAAAAGCUUACCAAGCCGACGAUCUGUAGCUGGUCUGAGAGGACGACCAGCCACACGGGGACUGAGACACGGCCCAGACUCCUACGGGAGGCAGCAGUGGGGAAUUUUGGACAAUGGGCGAAAGCCUGAUCCAGCAAUGCCGCGUGCAGGAUGAAGGCCUUCGGGUUGUAAACUGCUUUUGUACGGAACGAAAAGCUUCGGGUUAAUACCCUGGAGUCAUGACGGUACCGUAAGAAUAAGCACCGGCUAACUACGUGCCAGCAGCCGCCGUAA
Molecule: ribosomal RNA, 500 nt
Filed under: uncultured bacterium
Lineage: Bacteria
Description: partial 16S ribosomal RNA
Rfam family: Bacterial small subunit ribosomal RNA
Source: RNAcentral